This 521-nucleotide long non-coding RNA is filed under the name Marmota monax (woodchuck). The record is from RNAcentral. Lineage: Eukaryota; Metazoa; Chordata; Mammalia; Rodentia; Sciuridae.
AGAGAAUACAAUUACUGUCUCACCAAAAUAAUUGAAUGGCUAAGUAAGAUCAUUUAAAGAAUUGGGAAGAGUCAUGAAUGCAAAUAAGCAAUUUUGCGUAAUAUUCCCAUGCCCCUCCCAGCUGAAGUCACUGGUACUGGGAUUUGCAGACCUAACUUUAUUAGACCUGAUAGGACUACACCCAGGAGUAGGUGAGCUGGUGAGGUUUGUGGCCCCGGGGCUCUGGAUUCAGUCUGGCUGUGUCUCAGCCUGCUGCAGGUGGUCCUGGGAUUUUCUGGCACCCACAUCCUUAAGUGUCUGUCUUCAGUGGAUUUUGCUUUCUUUUCCUAACUAUACUUAAAAGGUCACUUGCCAUCUGCAUUCCUGCUGCAUCUCCAUGCUAUUUGGUAAGAGCUCCUUCAUCCCUGACAUUACCUUGAGCCAGACCUGGAGUAAGCCCUAAUUGCCCACUCUCUCUGGCUCCUCAGCACUAGGCAGCAUGAGUUUCCCACAGUUUCCCUCCAGCCACCUCCACCUCCCUG